This 429-nucleotide ribosomal RNA is filed under the name Chloroflexota bacterium. RNAcentral describes it as "Chloroflexi bacterium partial 16S ribosomal RNA". It matches the Rfam family "Bacterial small subunit ribosomal RNA", at positions 355 to 776 of the family's 1533-position model. Lineage: Bacteria; Bacillati; Chloroflexota. The record is from RNAcentral.
UGGGGAAUAUUGCACAAUGGGCGCAAGCCUGAUGCAGCCAUGCCGCGUGUAUGAAUAAUGCCUUCGGGUUGUAAAGUACUUUCAGUCGGGAGGAAGGUGUCAAGGUUAAUAACCUUGGCAAUUGACGUUACCGACAGAAGAAGCACCGGCUAACUCCGUGCCAGCAGCCGCGGUAAUACGGAGGGUGCAAGCGUUAAUCGGAAUUACUGGGCGUAAAGCGCACGCAGGCGGUUGAUUGAGUCAGAUGUGAAAUCCCCGGGCUUAACCCGGGAAUUGCAUCUGAUACUGGUCAGCUAGAGUCUUGUAGAGGGGGGUAGAAUUCCAUGUGUAGCGGUGAAAUGCGUAGAGAUGUGGAGGAAUACCGGUGGCGAAGGCGGCCCCCUGGACAAAGACUGACGCUCAGGUGCGAAAGCGUGGGGAGCAAACAGG